UCUUUCUUUCUUUCUUUCUUUCUUUCUUUCUUUCUUUCUUUCUUUCUUUCCUUUUUAAAAUCAAUAUCCCAAGCAUUUUGUUAACAAAAGAAGCAGCAAUAGUUAUGAGCAAAGUGUUGGGUUUGUCUUUUAGGUUAUAGAAAAAGCAAGAUCUUCCAAGGUUCAGGGGAUGUCAUGCAAUCCCUGUAACACGUAGGAAACAGAGACUAUUGAAAUGGGAUCUUCUAAGCCAAAAUGUAAUCCUGGGUGGACGGAGGUGACACCACUCAGGGAGACUGAAGAUCAUACAAAUACCUGCAAAGUUCAGAUCGGUUUUAAAUAAUCAGUCACAGACUCCUGGUAACAAACAAGCUGGGCUUAACAGAAGGGAGCCAGUCAUCCGCUUUGAUGGCUAUCAAUGGAAUGUUAGAAGUCCCAGGAGGGAGAAUUUGUGUGCACAGACAGAUAAAGAAGGAGAAGGCUCUUUCAGGAAACUCAGCAUCAGGAGGGACCCUGAGAUUACAGAGAAGAUAAGAAAGUUAAGGACAAGUACCCGAAGAUGCACCCGAGGAAGAUCACAGAGGAGCCGGUGGUGGCAGACAUCAUAAACACAGGCUCUGGCCCCUUGCUCAACAAGGGCUGAUGGGUUUUGAAGUUUGACCAGGUGACAUGACCUUAUCUCCCCCAAGUAUGCAAAUGAACUUAGACUAAUAUCCACUAAGAACUGACCCUGUUGUGUGCUUCUUUGUGUACCCAGAAUAUGUAGGGGUUUUGAGCGGUGGGUACCCAAGGAAUUAAUAGUUUAAAAUGUCUGUUCCAUUUUCUGCUAUGUAUUUAUUCUCUCAAAGCACAUUAAGUGGUCCGAUUAUGUGAAUCCCUGAAUAUUAUCUUAAAAUAUAGAUCCCUAGGCCCAUUUCAGAGAAGUCUUGAUUAGGCUACACAAAAACCUUCUCUUUCUUGAAAUUUAUAUAAUUCUUAUUUUUGGCAUUUGGAGACACAAAAACCUUCUCUUUCUUGAAAUCUAUAUAGAGACUCUAUGGGAAAAAAAAGCAAAAAGCUUCUUGAUAGAUGCUUGUGUGUGUGUGUGUGUGUGUGUGUGUGUGUGUGUGUGUAUGUGUGUAUUUAUAGACCAUACUUCUAUAUGCAGAGGUCAGCAAAGCAGAAGUGAGUAUUUAAUGUACACUAGGCAGUGGGUAUGUAACACAUCUUUAACUACUUGCAUGAGAACUUGAGCUGUAGGAUCUUACAUAGGUCAGUUAACCUAAAAAUUCAGGGUAGUUUAAUAACAGAUAAAGGGAAUUUUGAGGAAAGACAUGGCUGUCCUUUAAACUUUAAAUUGUAGCUAAUACAUUACAUGUUACUAAGUGACUUCAUAACAUAGCUCAGUGGAUUUUGCCAGAAGGUGUGGGCCUAGGCUGGCUUCUGAAGACGACAGGGUCUUGUGUAUUUCUUUUAAUGAACCUUGAAACACACCUCACGGCCACUGCAAAACAACAAAAACAACCUUGGAGAAUCAUUUUAUUUUCUCACAAAAAGCUACCUUAAACUAUAUGCAAAUUCAGCAGGUGGUUUCUUCCCUAUAAGUUAUAAAUCAUACAGAAUUUUGUGAAUUCACAGGUACCUGAAUCAAUAAGACUGGGAAAGAGGACAUUAUUGGGGGGGGGGGUGCAUUCCUGUAUAACAGGUCUCUUAUUUAAAAAAACAAACAAAAACACCAUUCAAGCAUUUUGAGAAAACCAGUUGAACAGGGUUGAAAAAAUUACUUUCUUUCCUUGUAAAGGCUAUGAUUUUUGAAAAUCAAAUUAUUUCCCAAGUAAAAGCUAUUUAUAGUUUGUUUCUGGAAAGAACCCACACCAUGAAAAUGUAGGAGAAUAGUUUGUAGAGUGGCCAAGCCAAUUCUGGGCACCAGACCCCAAAGGGUUUUAAAAGUGAAACAGUACCAUGAAGAAUCAUUUUAUUCCUAUGAAAGGUUUGGGCUUAAGCCUGUCUGCUAAAUUAUCAGUCACAAAGUGAAUCUGAAUAUUUACAAAACUCAGAGGAGUUUUCAACCUCACUGGGAGGCGUCCUAGGUAUUGUUAUCAUAAAUAUAUAGCUGUUGCCCACGUGAUCUGGUUAUUUUUGAGUAAAAACCUUUGGGUUGAAAUGUCCUCAUAAACUCUGGAGGAGAUGGGAAGAGCCUUUUAGAGUCUUGCCAUUUGGGAUAGGGGUUCUUUCCUGGAGGUGGGGAACGGGGAGCUGUGUCAUCUCUGCAUUCUAUAUGCUAGAUGCAAGCAGCACUUCCCACCCAGCUGUCCCCUGGUAAGGGAGGGAACAUUGCUUGUGGUUGAGAAAGACUAUUUUAAUGUGUUAAUCAAAGAAAUGAAAUCCCAUUUAACUAGUGCAGGUAUACGCUAGCUUGUCUAGAAACAAAGGGGGCAUAGAAGAUGUCACAAGCAAAAUCAGUGCUAAACUUCACUUACACAUUCUUACUCUAAACUCUUUUUUUCCUUCCCUUUCCUUUCUUUACUCUCCUCUCCCCUCCCCUCCCCUCCUUUGCUCUCCCUUCCCCUCCUCUCCCUUUUCCUGCCCUCCUCUCCCAUCUCCUCUGCUUUUCUCUCUCCUUUCCUUUACUGUCUUUUCCAGAAGCUGAUGAAGUGCACUCACUUCCUUCUCAGCCCAUACCCACUCUUCCAGUGAGUGUUGGACAUCAUUCUGGGAGGUGACUUUUUUUCUCCCGACAAAUGUAUUUGUCCCAUAAAAAUUGGAGCCUUUAAGGAGUUAUAAACCCCAGCGUUUCUUGAGGAGCUGUUACCAUUCUAGGUUGUCUUGCAUCUACUCCCUCCCCCAGUCUGCCCCCUCCCCCAAAUUUGGCCUUGUGUAUUCCUUGGAUGCAGCCAUAGUCCUCUUGCUUUCACACUGCAGCAGAAACUGCACAGUAAGGAAUCCUGCGUCUUUGAAUAGUGCUUUGAUUCACACAAUAUCUGCAUUUGACUGUCAGGUAAAUCGUCCAGAAACUCUAUUAAACAUGCAAAGACCUUGGGUCAAAACAAAUGCCGGUCAGUAAUGAGGUUCUACAAUAUUAUAGAAAUAUACCUCCAGCAUAUAUAACAUAUCAUAAUACCAAAAUGUAAGAAAUGUCAAAACAGACAGGUACAUAUUUGUUGGGUACAUUGGCUUUGUAAGAACAGAUUGCCUCUAAUUUGUGCCAUUUUUAAGUAUUUGAAAUAAUAUUAAAAAAAGAUCUCUAUUCUAAAAGUAGCAAAGGACAUAUAUGUCAAUGUACUUAUCAAAGCCUAAAGUCUAAAUACUAUUAGGAAAAACAUUACUUAGUUGUUUUAAGUGGAAAAAAAAUCACCAAUUUGAGAAAAUUUAUCUUUCAUGCUACCAUUUGAUCAAACUUGAUUGUGGCUUCUAAGUCUGUCUUCUCUUAGGAGUCUGAAUGAAUGGAAUUGCGGGCUUUCCAUUCAGGGUUCACUCCUCUCUGUAUGCAAGUGGGAGCUUGUGCUCCCUGCUCUCAGAUGUUUCUGUUGGUGGUGUUCUCCCUUCCUCCUCCCCCUCCCCUCUCUCUGGCAUCUUGUUAGCAUAGUGUAGUAGAGGAGAGUGGACUUCACUCACUUAGAUGGAUGAGCGUCCCAUAGGGUUAGAGAUAGGGUACUUUGAAAAUAAAGAUGGAAUCACUAAAAACUGAGCAAGUUCAGCAAGGCACCAUAAAAGACAACGUCUAAGGAGACCAAGAACUAUUUUUCCCUUAAGAAAUCAGCUCUCCUUAUUCAGUAGAGUGCUCUGAUUAUUCACUUCAGACAGUGCCCUAUCUCUAACUAUGGCUUCUCUGAGUGACAUCCGCCCGGGACUCAAGUGAUAAAUAUUUAACAAAGGGAACUCCCCUUACAGCCUCUUCUUUUUUCCAUAUGCAUUAAACUAAUGACUUCAUUUUAACAAGCAAAGCUCCUCUCUGAAAUGCAGCCUCAAGGAUUUCACACUUUUGAAAACUAUCUGCAACUAAGUUGAUCUACAGAGAAACACUGUAAAAAGUUAAAAGUUUCCAGGGUUAACUCUGGUAAGAAAGGCAAAAACCGUAAAAGACCAACUGUUCCCUGUGCCCCUGUCCUUUAGUGCUUGUCAACAUGGCCCCAUAUUUGGUCAUUUCAAUGGAAUGGCAUAGAGAUUUUUGCUUACUGCAAUGGAGAAAAUAAAGACAUUUUACAGGCUUUGUGGAGAAUUUGAUUUCCCAGAGACUACCCCCCCUUUUUCUUCUUAUUCUUUUUUGGGUAUAAUUCUCUCUGUGCUGAAGACAUUCUGUUCUGGUGAAUUCUGCCCUUCUUAUUCCUGGCAAUUACAUUCACAUCUUUGAUCUUGGAUGAGAUCUCUUGUGCAUAUUUUGUUCUAUUUAUGUCUUUGAUCUGGUUUCUUCUGAUUUUUUUUUUUUUGAGGUUGUGUUUUUAUUCGAAAGACAUUCAUCCUAAAAUAUUUAAAGGGGAAAACAAGGUGACAUUUACUUUAUCCAUAUGACAUUGUCUUUUGAGGCAUAUGGAUAAAUGAGACCGUCUUUAUAUGUCUCAACUCCAUCUUCCAAUAUCCCAUAGUUUGUGAUUUUUAGCUGUCAUAACAGCUCACAAUUGGAUAGAUGGCAAUGCGGUUGAUCCAACUUGGCUCUUGGGUUUUGUAAUCUUGUUAUUCCAUUUGUCUUAAAACAGUCGAUUUUCCAGCAACCUGACAGUGAUGCAGCUAUUGAACAUGAAGUAAACUCACAGAGCACUUGCUUAUGGAAGGCUUAAGUAGUCUUAUUUAUUUGCUAUUAUCCCUAUCAUCUAUUUACUAUGGAAUAAUUUGCUUGCUUAUGUAACAUAGUAUUUAUAUUCAGGUUUCAAGAAUUCGCCCAGGUAGCUUUAAAGAUGAUAUGUGUUGCUAAGGGGAGAUUAAAAAAAAGAAUAAGAGAACAGCUAGCGGUCGCUGUAGCGAUGGCAAAGAGCUAUGAAUAAGGGGGCCGCACGGGACCUGGGAAUGUACAUGACAAAAAUUGGUCACCAUGGCAACAUUUGAGCAGUGGGAGACAGGGAGCUGAAGUGUGCAACAGAACCACAGUGGCCUGAUUGAAAAGAACUGCCUAUAAUUUAGCUUGACUGACUUGUUAUGUAAUAUGUUUUCUGGGCUAUGCAAAUGACUGUAGAAAUGUGAGAAUUUAAAAUAGUUUACAAAUCCAGACUGUAAUAAAAAUGGGGGAAAGAAAGAGGGAGAGAUGUUCCUUUAAGGGGUCAGAUCGUAAUUCUGCUUUUUAGAAAACUAGAGUGUUUCUGUGCCUGAUGGCCUUAGAUGGUGUUACCACAGGUAUUUUUGUAUAAAGCCCUGUCUGGAAACAACAUUUUUUGUAUUUCAGAGACAAGAGACAUGUUUAUACAAAUUGCUAAAUAUUGCUUUUAAAAAGCAAGUAAAACUAGAAUUAGGGGCAGAGGAAAAAUAUAGCACAGCGGUAAGAAAUUGUAAAGUUGAAUAGCUCCAUGCUGAGCCUCUUUACAUAAAACAGGGUCCUGGGAAGCUUUCCGUGGAAUUUGUUUUCAGUUCACUGUUUGCUUUUUUGAGGCAUCUGGACAACUGUCGUUGUUUUCUUUCUCAGUUGUGGUCGGUUCUGCACACAGUCACCUAGCAAGAAGGAGCUCAAUGCUAUGGCCUGACCAAAUGGCACUCGGUUAUGUCUGCUUUCACAUAUAUUUGCCCCUAAUGGACACAUAUUACCUGAGUGGCAUCAGGAGAGCCAGAAUACAAUCUAUUAAAAGUGGUAGGAGAACACUGACACCCUGGUCCAUAAAUCUGAGCAGGAAUCUCUUCUGCAGAUGUAGCAGGCAGUACAUAAGGCUUGCCUACAUCCCAGGAAGCAGAAUUAGAAUGAAUCGCAUAGCUUAAUGGCAACAUUCCUGCUAAGCUGUGCAUAUAAUAGUGACAAUAAUAAAAUUAGUAGUAAUUAUAGAAAUGAUUACUGCUUAAAUUUACUGAGUACCCUCUGGAUGCCAGAUACUCUUGUGCCUCAUUUACGCCUCACAAAACUGCCGCAAGAUAAAAACAACCACCCUCCCCUCCCAUUUAGCAGAUAGGGGACUAGAAAGGCUAAUGUCAUUUGCCUAUGGUCAUGCAAAUAGUAAACUGAUCAGAAUGCAGAGCCAUCUAUCUCCUGAGCAUCAUUCUGCAAGCAAGGUUUCUUUUCUGUUGCAGGCCAGAUAAUUUUAAAUGACCUUGCUAUGCUAUUCUUGUGGCCAGCACCUUCUCUGCACAAAUCCUUUUUUUUUUCCUUUCCUUUUUUUUUUUGUUUUUGUUUUUGUUUUUUCCUUUGGAGCUGAUCACACUUUAUCACAGUCCUAGUUUCUACUCUUAUACCCAGACACUGGAAAAUAUGUUCUCUGCUUUUAUUUCCUAAAAUUACUUAUGAUAUUGUUACCUUUGCAUUUCAAAAUGCCCUCCGUCCAAGGUUCACAUCUUAAAAGCUUGGUUUGAAAUAGAACACUCUUCAGAGAUGGGGCUUUGUGAAAACGAUGGGAUCCAGUUCUGACUUUAUCAACGGAUCAAUCUACUGAAAGAAGAAGUCUCACUGGAAGAAUUGCUUUCCUUUGGAUUGGCCUGAGGGACAUUUUCUCAAUUGCUCCACGAUGAUGGAGGGCCCAGCCCACUGCAGGAGGUACCACAUCAUGAUAGAUGGGCUAGACAAAAAAAAAUGUCUCAUCCUAUAUGGUUUGGAAGCUUUAUAAGUGACCAUACCAACUAGAUAGAAAUGGAGCAACAUGGUCCCGUCUUACUGAGAGGAGAAAUCUCUACUGGAACACUCUUCCCUGCCAGCUUAAUACUCAGCACAAGGCAGAAGGAAUGCUUCUCACGAGCUUCACCAAGGGAGACGGGUGGCAAGCAUCUUUCAGGCGUUCCCAAGCUCGCCCCAAUUUGUGGAGACAGCUCUGGUACCAUGGCAUUUUCUGAUGACAACAACUCCCGAUGCAGCUGUACCAACGCUGCCGCUGAUAUAUCCAUUAAAAAGAGAAGCUUGUAAAAUCCAGAUUUGAAAUUCAAUAAGGAAUUCAGAGGAAAGUCUUGCUUUCAGGCCAUCUCCUGGCUAAAUGAAUAAAUGAAUAGGGAAACUAUUGCAUACAAAAAAAAAAUGUCAAAAGCUACCAAAGGAAGCUUUGCUCACUAAUGUUUCAAAAUAGCCCCGUCUGGAAAGGUAUGCUUUUAGACUAAGAAAGCAGAAAAAAACUAAUUAGACAAGAAGUAACCGUGAACAAACAUGUUAGCAGAACCAAUAACUGGAACUGAUCAGCUAUUUCUCUAAUUGUGCCAGCUGGACAGCUAUGAUGCGCUUAGCAGAGCAUAAUUACUAAUUUCUAUUCCAUACCCCAACCCUUUUCUUUCCUCUCCCUUUUGUAGAAAUACCCAGGCAUAUGCCACUUAAUAAAAUAAUAAUAACAUUCUGUAAAGGUAAAAAGUGAGUGGGAAAAACUGAGAGCCUAUGUACGAUGACAUUUUGUGAAUGAUCAGGAGGUUGAUCGAGGACAAUCCUCUAGUUGUGUUAAUAAGAAUUUGAGCAAUCAAGGAAAUGCACUAUGAUCUUAAUUUAAAGGCUAUUAUGUGCUUGCUUCAUUACAAAUAAGGACAAUUUACAUCACUAUGUUAGCAUGGGCUUCAUAUUCAUGGUCUUUCUCACUUGGAGAGGUAUGGUUAAUUUCAGCUCAAAGCACUGUGUCUCCUAUGAUGUGAAGUUGUGCAAUCCAGUUACCUGGUGCUGUUCAGAGAAGUUUAAACAGACUACGGGUUGGGCCUAUAAAAGGAAUAGAGAUGAGAAAGUUUUCCUAGUUAAUUCAAAAGAGGAACAAUUCCUGGUUCAAUUGAUUUGUACACCCCACCCCCACCCCCCCACUCCUCAAAUGACAGCUAAACAAAGAUUUGUAAGCAUGUAAUAGUCUGGAGAGGCCGGUGUUUAAAGUCCAAGUUUAGCUGUGUAUAACUAAAGAAAGCUUAUCAUUUCUGACAUGCUGCUGUGAGAAACAGGCCCCUUUAGGGUACUUGUCACUGGGAAAAGUGACAUGUUAAAGGAAAUAUGAACACAGGGACUGAAAGGCACACCAGAAAAUACUGGAAGGAAAAAUCCUAGUAAAGUAAGGAUUUAUUGAAAGAUUUGCUUACACAGAACUUAAAGGUUUUGUCGCUUGUUGUUUGGUUUGGUUGCUUUGUGCUUUUGUGGUUUUGUAGAUAAGGUUUCUCUGUCCUGCUGUCCUAGAAUUCACUCUGUAGACCAGGCUGGCCUGGAUCUCACAGAGAUCCGCCUGCCUCUGUCUCGUUAACUAUUGAGGAUUAAGGCAUGCUCCACCACUGCCAGGCAACAACAAUGUGUUUUACUAGGAGGUAAAUGUUUCCUCAAUUUAGUUUGAGCAGAAUGAAAGAACUCAUAAUAGUAAAUAAAUACAUUUCCUCCUAGCUGUAAAGAACUUAUGAGAAAAAUGACAUUUUAAGUGACAAAGGGUCUUAGCUUUUGUGUUUGCUUUUUUGUUUCUUUCCUUUUCCUUUUUUCUUUUCCUUGCCAAGGUCUCAUAUAUCUCUGGCUGACCUGAUAUGUGCUAUCAACUUGUGAUCUUGAAUUUUUGAUCUCCUGUCUCCACCUCCUUCGUACUGGGAUUAUAGGCAUGCGCCACUGCGAUGUAAUGGUACUAGCUAGUGAUCCAAAGUAGGGAUAGCUCAGGCUUUGCGCGUGCUGGGUAAGCAUUCCGCAACUGAGCUGCAUCCCGGGCUUUUGGGUUCAUUUUUGUUUUAAGCUUUGUGAGUUCCAUGGUUCUACAGUGACAUCUACUUUACUUGACAGUGGGAAGACUGAGACUGUGUGGGAUUAUGGGUCCCUCGGUUUUACCAGCUCUGGAAAAAAAGGGGUUCCUUUUUCUUCCAUGAUGUUAUAUCAUCUAUCGUUGCCUCCAGCAAUAUACUUAAACACCGUUGGGUUUAGCUAAGCUCAGUGUAAUUUAAUGCACAUGUUUUUACUGCUCAGUUUCUGUGGUCCAGCCUAGUGGAAGACUUGUAUCUUUAGAGAACCCCCCUUCUAGUUCCAGGGGCAUCCAUUGUGUGUUUCCUUCAUUUGCAGUUAUGUAGAUGCAAAAUUAACCCAAGGUAUCUACUUGAGGUCUCUAGCAAGUCUGACUCAGAUGGUUUGAAUGGGAGUGGGGUAGAACCCACUUUUCACAUCCUUAAUUUGUGUUCCGACUUUGGACCGGGUACUGCGUGUCUCUCGAGCUUCAUGACCCCCAUGAGCUCAUGAGGAAUAUAGUAUUUAAUGAUCUCAUUACCUUUAUUCUGGGGGAUGCAGAAAGUAGAAACAGUCUUCUCCAGUAAUUAGUGCCCCCCCCCCAACCUAUCCCAAUAGGUCAGCCUUAAGCACAUAUGAGCAACAGGAAGAUCUCAGUAAAACACAGGAAGGAGGGAGACGGAUAAGAGAAGACAUAGAGAUGGGGGAGGGGAGGGAUGAUGUAAAUAAAGUACCCAUAUAGUCAACUCUCAAAAUUAAACAAACUGUAUUUGUACGGUUCCCCUUUACAUGUAGACAUCUGAUAUCCUCACUAUCAUUCGUUGAAAGGACAUUGUGUCCUUCUGGUCCUGACUCCCUUGUGAAAAUCGAUUUUACAUGCACAUGAGGACUGGCCUGCGCUGCAUUCCACUGAGCCAUACGUCCAACUUUUUGUCAGUAUCAUACAGUCUUGAUGACAGCAUCUAUGUGACAAAGUAGGAGUCAGGAAAUAGGAAUCCUGUAGCAUUGUUCUUAACAAGAUGGUCUUAUUGAUUGGGCCUCUGAGAUUCUAAAGGAUGUUAGGAUGAAAUGCUGUUUUUAUACAAAACAUCCCUGGGGUUUUGACAGCAAUUAACAUUGAAUCUGAAGAUUGCCUUGGGUAGUACUGAUACCUUAGUGAUAUUGUCUCCUACUUCAUGAACAUGGGAUGUCUUGAUGUACAUGCAGAUAAUGAAGUGGCUACAAUAGCAAUCAAAUUAGUGUGUCCUUUGCCUCACAUUUUGUGGGAUAAGACAUCUGAAAUCUACUUUUAGCAACAAUCCCAAGUAGAAUUCAAAUUAUUAACUUUCUGCCUCUGGGCUAUUUUACUUAGCAUGGUGGCUUCCAAUUUCACUCAUUUUUAUGACAAAUGCAUGAUCAUGUUCUGCAAAGCUGGAUAGCAAUCCAUUGUAUACAUGUGUUAAACUUUGUCCUUUCUUCUGUUGGUUGCUUCUGUAUCCUGAUAUUUAUGAUUGAUAAUGCAUUGCACAUGGUUGUGUGGCAUCUGUCAGGUAGUGGCUUUCCUUUAGGUAGAUGCCCCAAAGGAUUACUGACUCAUACAGUAGUUCCAUUUUAUUAUUAUCAUUUUAUAUACUUUUAGUUUCAACUUAUGUGUGCUCUUAGAUCUACUGAAUCUCUUGUAGGCAGCCUACAGUUAGACUAUUCUCCCCCUGUGGUCUGUUUUCUCUAAUAUGGGUAUUUUCAUUGCUUCAUGGUCUACACAAUUUCUUUUUAUAGUUAGUUCACUUUUGUAGGAAAAUAUUUUAAUUCUCUAAUUUCUUCUUGUAUACAUUCUAUACAUAUUUAUCAUGGUUACUGUGGAGAUAAUAUUUAAUAUUCUAAGGUUAUAACACCCUGCCUGGAAUUUUUACCAUAUUGCCUUGAUAGUGUGCAAAGUCUCUGGUUCAUUAUAAAAACAUCCUCAUCUGCUGACAUCAAAAACUGUAUUUCUAUACAUUAUGUGUCCAAGACCAUAAUAAUUUGGCAUCUGUUUCUUCAGUAGAGAAUUAAAUAUUGUAUUACAAAUUUUACCUAUAGAAAUACUAGCUUCUAGGACUACUGUGAAGGUUAUUUGUUUUUGACUAAAAUUUGUCCAAAAUUAACCAACAAUAUACUCACGAAGCCUUUUCUAGUGUAACUAUUUUCAGAAUAUAGGAAGGUAUCACUCA
Long non-coding RNA from Mus musculus (house mouse), 10908 nucleotides. RefSeq annotates it as predicted gene, 32793. NCBI's taxonomy places the organism in Eukaryota, Metazoa, Chordata, Mammalia, Rodentia, Muridae. The transcript has 4 exons. The record is from RefSeq and is a predicted model, not a curated record.